UCGCAGACCUUCACCCGUGAAUAUUUUAAAAAAGGGGGAAGCCACCCUUUGCAGCCCACCACCUCCGGCCAGCCAUUUCCAGCGGCAGUCUGGCCACUUUUCCGGCCAGUAAGAGGAAUUUUCCGGCCAGUAAGAGGACCCAAGCUUGAGACCUACACCCACACUUCAUUUGAGAAGGAUUUGAGGUACAAGUGUGGUUCUUGAAUCAAUUCAAGAGAAAGAUUGAAAUUCUUGAGUUAGUGGAACUAACAAAGUUCAAGGUUAGCGAAUUGGUGUGAAAUAUACGUUGCUUCUUGGUGAGGAUUGCGUGUUUACUUCGAGGUGAGCCAGGAUCUAGUGGACAGGCUGCGGAUCAGCAGGAGGACGCGUGACGGAGGUGGCCUGAACUUUUGUGGUUGUGUGACACGUGUGUGUGGAUUUUUACAUAUGUAUGGUGUGACGUUGGUACGUUUUAGUAGUUUAAGUACAUGGAUAUAGUAUGGUUAUGGUUGGAUUGAUGUAUGGUGUUGUUUUUGUUGGCCGGGAGUGGUGGGCGUGACUAUUGUGUGUUUGAUGAUGAUAAGGGGGUAUGUGUUUGAUGGUGGACCUAUGGGUCAGUUGAUGUUGAUGAUAUUAGAAGUGUUUUUUUUUCUUGUAUGUGAUCUGAUUACAGGUGGGUUUCCUCAA
Tripterygium wilfordii is the source of this 666-nucleotide long non-coding RNA. RefSeq lists it as uncharacterized. The transcript has 4 exons. The record is from RefSeq and is a predicted model, not a curated record. NCBI's taxonomy places the organism in Eukaryota, Viridiplantae, Streptophyta, Magnoliopsida, Celastrales, Celastraceae.